This 390-nucleotide transfer-messenger RNA is filed under the name Anaerolineae. RNAcentral describes it as "GLR113 sp013139935 Standard tmRNA". It matches the Rfam family "transfer-messenger RNA". From Rfam's summary of the family: Bacterial tmRNA, also known as 10Sa RNA or SsrA, is named for its dual tRNA and mRNA-like properties. RNAcentral also lists the same sequence under 2 other names. Lineage: Bacteria; Bacillati; Chloroflexota. The record is from RNAcentral.
GGGGAUGACAGGCUUCGACGGGGAAGGCUGGUCACGGACGGCAAGCCGAGGUUGCUCUAUCCUCGCUAAUCCAGAGCAAAACAAUUAGGUGCCAACAACACCGACUAUGCGGCUCUUCCCCUCGCUGCAUAAGCGAGGUAUGAGCCAGGCCUCCUGAGGGGGGCCACGUCCCCGCUGAGUGUUGGCCGGUCACUCAGCGAUCGGGCGUCAUGAAAACCGGCAUGCAGCCCCCGGACGCCGAUAACGGGGCCCAAGACACCAUUGGCUGGCCGGCGAGCGACCGCGUUGGUCCGGGUGCCGCCGGCGAGAGAAAAAUAGGCCGACUAUGCUUGUAAAAAAGUCCGUGCUCGAAUUCUUCGGACCCGGGUUCGAUUCCCGGCAUCUCCACCU